GAUGAACGCUGGCGGCGUGCUUAACACAUGCAAGUCGAACGAAGCACUCUAUUUGAUUUUCUUCGGAAAUGAAGAUUUUGUGACUGAGUGGCGGACGGGUGAGUAACGCGUGGGUAACCUGCCUCAUACAGGGGGAUAACAGUUGGAAACGACUGCUAAUACCGCAUAAGCGCACAGGAUUGCAUGAUCCGGUGUGAAAAACUCCGGUGGUAUGAGAUGGACCCGCGUCUGAUUAGCCAGUUGGCAGGGUAACGGCCUACCAAAGCGACGAUCAGUAGCCGACCUGAGAGGGUGACCGGCCACAUUGGGACUGAGACACGGCCCAAACUCCUACGGGAGGCAGCAGUGGGGAAUAUUGCACAAUGGGGGAAACCCUGAUGCAGCGACGCCGCGUGAGCGAAGAAGUAUUUCGGUAUGUAAAGCUCUAUCAGCAGGGAAGAAGAAUGACGGUACCUGACUAAGAAGCAC
This 468-nucleotide ribosomal RNA is filed under the name uncultured bacterium. RNAcentral's name for it is "bacterial SSU rRNA". It matches the Rfam family "Bacterial small subunit ribosomal RNA", at positions 28 to 493 of the family's 1533-position model. The record is from RNAcentral.